RNAcentral lists this transfer RNA (74 nucleotides) under Candidatus Tetragenococcus pullicola. Its description in RNAcentral is "tRNA-Pro". It matches the Rfam family "tRNA". From Rfam's summary of the family: Transfer RNA (tRNA) molecules are approximately 80 nucleotides in length. The record is from RNAcentral. Lineage: Bacteria; Bacillati; Bacillota; Bacilli; Lactobacillales; Enterococcaceae.
CGGGAAAUAGCUCAGCUUGGUAGAGCACUUGGUUUGGGACCAAGGGGUCGUAGGUUCGAAUCCUGUUUUCCCGA